This 244-nucleotide unclassified non-coding RNA is filed under the name plant metagenome. RNAcentral's name for it is "partial contains small subunit ribosomal RNA, internal transcribed spacer 1, and 5.8S ribosomal RNA". The record is from RNAcentral.
UCUCCGUUGGUGAACCAGCGGAGGGAUCAUUACCGAGUUUACAACUCCCAAACCCAAUGUGAACCAUACCAAACUGUUGCCUCGGCGGGGUCACGCCCCGGGUGCGUCGCAGCCCCGGAACCAGGCGCCCGCCGGAGGGACCAACCAAACUCUUUCUGUAGUCCCCUCGCGGACGUUAUUUUUACAGCUCUGAGCAAAAAUUCAAAAUGAAUCAAAACUUACAACAACGGAUCUCUUGGUUCUG